This 119-nucleotide ribosomal RNA is filed under the name Rhodobacter capsulatus. Lineage: Bacteria; Pseudomonadati; Pseudomonadota; Alphaproteobacteria; Rhodobacterales. The record is from RNAcentral.
CGUUUGGUGGUCAUAGCGUUGGCUAAACACCCGAUCCCAUCCCGAACUCGGCCGUUAAGGGCCAACACGCCGAUGGUACUGCGUCUCAAGACGUGGGAGAGUAGGUCACCGCCAAACCN